GGUAACGCAGCUAACGCGUGAAGUAGACCGCCUGGGGAGUACGGUCGCAAGAUUAAAACUCAAAGGAAUUGACGGGGACCCGCACAAGCGGUGGAUGAUGUGGAUUAAUUCGAUGCAACGCGAAAAACCUUACCUACCCUUGACAUGUACGGAAUUCUGCUGAGAGGUGGAAGUGCUCGAAAGAGAACCGUAACACAGGUGCUGCAUGGCUGUCGUCAGCUCGUGUCGUGAGAUGUUGGGUUAAGUCCCGCAACGAGCGCAACCCUUGUCAUUAGUUGCUACGAAAGGGCACUCUAAUGGGACUGCCGGUGACAAACCGGAGGAAGGUGGGGAUGACGUCAAGUCCUCGUGGCCCUUAUGGGUAGGGCUUCACACGUCAUACAAUGGUACAUACAGAGGGCUGCCAACCCGCGAGGGGGAGCUAAUCCCAGAAAGUGUAUCGUAGUCCGGAUUGUAGUCUGCAACUCGACUACAUGAAGUUGGAAUCGCUAGUAAUCGCGGAUCAGCAUGUCGCGGUGAAUACGUUCCCGGGUCUUGUACACACCGCCCGUCACACCAUGGGAGCGGGUUUUACCAGAAGUAGGUAGCUUAACCGCAAGGAGGGCGCUUACCACGGUAGGAUUCGUGACUGGGGUGAAGUCGUAACAAGGUAGCCGUGUCGGAAGGUGCGGCUGGAUCACCUCCUU
RNAcentral lists this ribosomal RNA (686 nucleotides) under uncultured bacterium. RNAcentral's name for it is "bacterial SSU rRNA". It matches the Rfam family "Bacterial small subunit ribosomal RNA", at positions 842 to 1532 of the family's 1533-position model. The record is from RNAcentral.